UAAUCUUAGGAUUGCAAUGCUCAUGAAGAUAUUCUAAGCCUCGGGCCGUUCCCAGGGCCACUCGUUUUCUAGUAGGCCAGUCCAGAACAGGUUCACCAGGUUUGAGUUCUGCAUCAGUAUUCACUUAGUAAAACAUCAAUGGUAAAAAAGCCAGAUUGUACACAUAGACCAAAAAAUAUGGAAAUCCAACCUACCAAAACACAUCAAAUAAAGUAUACAAAAAACAUAUUUAUAUUGUUAAUCAUUUAAUGUAUGUUAUUUAUGCUUAUUAUGUACAGGUUAUAAAGCUCAAUAUUUAAAAUAGCAUUAGUAUCCGUCAGCGUGAUGGCAGCGUUAUAGUGAUGAAACACAUGUGACACUUUUCACAUCUUGUUUUAUUUUUAAGUCCUCACAUAAAAGUAAUUUGUAACAAAAUAUUUUUCUUUUAAACAGACCACAUACAGAUAGAGUUAAAGACUCAAACUACACUUGCAUUCACAAAACAAGUGAAAACCUGCAAAAAUAUUUGCAAGCUAUAUUCACCCAGUGAAUUUCUAAAAUGUUUAAAAUAAUAAUAUGACUGAAACAAAAUAAGAACUUAUUGUGAUGAUAUUCAAUAAUGUGAAAUCUGAACGGCCAUACAGCUCCAGUUACAAAAGUAAAUAGUACUUUCUUUAUUGCAGAAAAUCAAAUUUAAUACCUAGCAUACCAGUGAUGCCAAAAAUGCUUUGUAACUUGUUACCUCGAAGUCGAUAGGCAACACUUAAGUUCUGCAUAAAGGGAUAAACUAAGAGGCGCUCCGUCGGGGUAGUACAAAACCCAAUCAACCGUAACAGGUUCUUAUGCACAGCUACACUUAUCAUCUCAACCUCACGCUGAAAGGUUGCAUCUCCCCCAGGACUUUCAUAAUCAGUUAACCUUUUGACAGCAACUUUGGUGUUAUCAGCAAGAACACCUUUAUAAACCGUUCCAGAGCCUCCCUG
This 962-nucleotide long non-coding RNA is filed under the name Phaseolus vulgaris (common bean). RNAcentral describes it as "long non-coding RNA (PVUL_LNC004686)". Lineage: Eukaryota; Viridiplantae; Streptophyta; Magnoliopsida; Fabales; Fabaceae. The record is from RNAcentral.